GGCCACCUCUGUCCUCCCCGCCAUCUCCGGCCACAUGUACACGUUCAGGGUCGUCGUUGCCGGCGCAACUCCGGUGACUACCCAAGCCAAGUCCUCCCCUUCCUACCUCCCUGGUGUCUACCGCGUCGAGCGCGCCUCUUCCCCGAGCCCCUCGCGCCUCCUCCGUCAGAUUGUUGCUCGACGUGAGUUCCGCCAUGGACGUCAUAUCUGAGCUCUUUUUUGUUCAAGUCGCUGCGCCCUGCACAUGUCCAACUCCACCAGGACCAUCUCGUGCUUUGUUUCUUCACGGAUAAGACGUUGAGUUGAUGCGAGCUACGCCAAGUUCUCCGGAUGUUCCUCCGCCAUUUUUAACAGGCAAGAAUUUUCACACUUAUGUCUCUGCGGGAGUCUUUUACCUAUUUUAUUUUGCCUUCUC
Molecule: long non-coding RNA, 415 nt
Organism: Lolium rigidum
Lineage: Eukaryota; Viridiplantae; Streptophyta; Magnoliopsida; Poales; Poaceae
Exons: 3
Source: RefSeq, a predicted model, not a curated record